GUAGAUGCUGUUUGUCUCUGUAGGACAGUAGUUCAGGUGGCUGUUUGUGUAGAUGCUGUUUGUCUUUGUAGGACAGUAGUUCAGGUGGCUGUUUGUGUAGAUGCUGUUUGUCUUUGUAGGACAGUAGUUCAGGUGGCUGUUUGUGUAGAUGCUGUUUGUCUUUGUAGGACAGUAGUUCAGGUGGCUGUUUGUCUUUGUAGGACAGUAGUUCAGGUGACUGUUUGUGUAGAUGCUGUUUGUCUCUGUAGGACAGUAGUUCAGGUGGCUGUUUGUGUAGAUGCUGUUUGUCUUUGUAGGACAGUAGUUCAGGUGGCUGUUUGUGUAGAUGCUGUUUGUCUUUGUAGGACAGUAGUUCAGGUGGCUGUUUGUCUUUGUAGGACAGUAGUUCAGGUGGCUGUUUGUGUAGAUGCUGUUUGUCUUUGUAGGACAGUAGUUCAGGUGGCUGUUUGUGUAGAUGCUGUUUGUAUUUGUAGGACAGUAGUUCAGGUGGUUGCCCUUGCAGUUUAGUCUACCUCCUGUCCCUCCCAUCGUCAUGGUUACACCUUCCUGAAAACAAUGACUCCAUACUUUGCUGAAACCUGUUCUGCCAGU
This is a long non-coding RNA of Oncorhynchus tshawytscha (Chinook salmon), 591 nucleotides long. Lineage: Eukaryota; Metazoa; Chordata; Actinopteri; Salmoniformes; Salmonidae. The record is from Ensembl.